RNAcentral lists this long non-coding RNA (4833 nucleotides) under Sus scrofa (pig). Its description in RNAcentral is "lncRNA (ENSSSCG00055013030.1)". Lineage: Eukaryota; Metazoa; Chordata; Mammalia; Artiodactyla; Suidae. The record is from RNAcentral.
AGACAAAAAUGUCCCGUAUCGUUUUUGCCCAUUUUACUCUUUUACCUAUAUUCCUGAUGUUUCUCCCCCAUCAUGAACUUAACAUUCUCAAUAUUUUUUCUUUUCUUUUUUUUGGUCCGCCCCCUGGCAUAUGGAGUUCCCAGGCCAGGGAUCAGAUCCGAACCACAGUUGCGACCUAAGCCACAUCUGCCUCAAGGCAAGCUCCCCAACCCCCUGUGCUGGGCAGGGGAUUGAACCUGCUUCCCAGCACUCUCAAGACACUGCCAAUCCUGUUGUGUCACAGUAGGAACUCCUCUCAAGGUUAUUCUUUUUUUUAAAGAUUUUUUUUUUAGGGUUUCACUUGCAGCAUAUGGAAGUUUCCAGGCUAGGGGUCAGAAUUGGAGCUGCAGCUGCUGGUCCAUGCCACAGCCACAGCAACAUGGGAUUGGACUCAUGCCUGUGGUCUACACCACAGCUCAUGGCAAUGCCGGAUCCUUAACCCACUGAGUGAGACCUGCAUCCUCAUGCAUACCAGCUGGGUUUGUUACCUCUGAGCCAGAACGGGAACUCCUCAAGAUUAUUUUUGUAAGCUUUGGGUUCCAUAAAGCCAGGGUCCACCUUUGGGUGUGUGAAAGUAACGUUGCAUGUGAGCAUCCUUGAAUACACAGCACCAUGCAAAAAAUCCUAUGUGCAUUUCGAUAGGAUAAACUCAUAAAAGCAGAAUUGCUCUUGAGAUUGGAAACUAGAGGAUGUAUGUGCCCUUAAAGUAGGUGAGAAGAAUGAAGAGAAAUGAGAAAUUGAGAUUUCAAGAAUUAACUAGGGAUUUAUCAAAAAAGAGAGGAACUUUACAGUGUAUAUAUAUAGGCUGUGCUUUCAACUAGGUUUGAAGGAUAAUGAGGAGGGAUUUGGCAAUGCCAUGGGAUUUAUCCUGAGUAUUUGAAUAGCAUCUUGUCUUAUGGACACAAAGACUGUUUGCAAAGAAAAUCUCUGUGAGCUAUUGUAUACCAGGGCCUAGAGAAUCCGCAGGCAGUUCAUGGGAGGUUUUUCACAGUCGUGGGGAUCUUGAGCUUGGGAGAGUAGGGCUUUCCUGGGGGGAGAACUUAUACCAGGAGCCCUUCCUGGGAAUAGAGAGCACUGUUUGAAGCUGACAUCCCCGGAAUCAGAGAGGCAAAAUAUCAGAGCCUGCUUUGUGGUUGGGAGAACCUGUGAGGCACCUUCUUGUAGCCUUACAGUACUUGCAAAGGAAUGACUGAGGAAGAGCCACGUCAACACAGGUUCGCUGAGCCUGUGAGAUUUAAAGGAAAAGAUGAGCAGCUCCGUCUUAAGUGCCCAGGGAUGCUCACACCUUGAUUGUACAUUAAAAUAACCUAGACCCUCCUUUUAUAAAUCCUGAUUCCUAGGCUGCUCCCUGACUAAUUAAAUCAACCUUUGAGAGUGGAACUUGGCGUCGGUAUUGUUCAAGCUCUCCAGCUGAUUCUAAUGGAAUUAGAAAUUGCUAGCGAUGAGUAUCUGUCAGAAGGACUUACAGAAUGUGGACUUUACUAGUAAGGCUCCGAUCUGGAAUAUGCCCUCUGGUUGUGCAGCAUUUAGGAAAGCUUUCCCUGUGCUAUCCCUCUGCAACUUACUGGCUUGAGCUUAGAGGCUCUGACUGUUAGCAAGUAUGUAUAUCUGUGGGUAUUACAGCUACGGUAUGUUUACUGUUUUACUGAUUAAAACACCACUGCAGGUGCAGUAACUAGCUUCUGUUAGGUAUUUGUCAAAUGGGCUUUUCCUUGGGUUUAUUUUUUUGGACUUGACGCUUCCUUACAAUGUCAUGGCAAUUAAACAUCGGCAUUUCACACAGAGUGGCUUUGUCUCCGUAAAAUUUAUCAUCUGAGGUGGGGAACUGCCUUGGAUUCACCCGCAGUUAUUUCUUGUAAUUAGGGCUGCCCUCACAUGUAAUAAUGCUCUCUCUCCCGUGAGAUCCCAGAGAAUACAUUUAAGGAUAAGGACCAUUUAAUUCUCCCUUAGCGAACUGAUCCCUUGCCCGAGUGUUCCAAUUUGUACUGAAAAAAUUUGUACUCUGUGGAGUUAGUCCUUAAAUGAGUGUGUGUUGUUCUGUCACUUUUCAGUGAAGAUGUCUAUAAAAUUUUUCCUUUAGUUUAAGAAAGGUAGAUCCAGUGGCAGAUAAGGAAUGACGACAUGCAGGGAUUGACUUAGGUUGAAUUCCUGGGACGCACACUCUGCCGGAUGCUUCAUAAGGAGCGACCUUAGGACCAGCACUUGCUGGAGAAAGGGAAAAAUUAGGAGGCGGAGAAUUUGAGCUGCAGUCUAGGCCGACCAGUACUCUUAUCUGAACCCACGGGGAGCUCUGGGGCUAGACUGGUCAUUCAGAAUUGUCCUGAGCUGUGCAUAGAGGGUCAGGACUUUAAACUUCUGCAUCUAUCAGCCAUUCGAUAGAGCCGCCCCGGGAAGUGGCAUGACCUUGGACAUGGCAGCUCUGCAGCUGAGGAGGUGGCUAAAAGCUGGCAGCUCUCUCCGCAGGGGGCUGGGAGCCCUCCCUUGCAGGGUCAUCUGGGCAGCGUAUCUCAGGGCCCAGCGCGAAGGUGAAAGAAAUCUGUCCCUGCAUUUGCAAAGUCUGUGGCUUGGUGAGCCAGAAAAGGAAAUUAUUCCGUCUUCCGCGGUAUUUCACGGUCAGUGCUGUGACUAAGGGGGAGGAAGGCUGACGUGAGCACACACACAGAGAAAGGAAGGGGGGGGGCAGUGUCCAGCCACGCAGGCUUUUCAGCAGGCAGCCUCCCCCUUACAGAGCCACAAAGUCAUUCACUGCUGGGGACGGGGAGCAGUUAAAAUGGGCAGAGGGCAGAAACAGUGCUGGGUCUGCUAUCUAUUUGGUGUUCAUCAAAAGGAGAGUGAUGGGUUGACUUUAAAUAGAACAAUGUACAAACCAAAGCCUUCAUUUAAGUGUGCAUUUUUUUUUUCCCCUUUUUAGGGCCUCACCUGAGGCAUGUGGAAGUUCCCAGGCUAGAGGUUGAUUCGGGGUUGUAGCUGCACCAUGGCCACAGCACCACGGGAUCUGAGCCUCGUCUGUGACCUAACCUGCAACUCACAGCAACACCAGAUCCUUAACCCAUGGAGCGAGGCCAGAAAUUGAACCUGCAUGCUCAUGAGUACUCAUCGGUUUCUUACCUCCCUGAGCCACAAUGGGAAUUCUGAGUCUGCGUCUCACUAGAUGGCAAGGGCAGGGGCACACUCGGCAAGAUUUUUUGUUGUUGUUGUUCCCUAACGGCAUCUUCUACGGGACACAGACUGUGAUCAGGUGAAAAGUAAUAAAUAUCCAUCCAGGCCCCACCAACUCCACUUCCUUACCUUCAGCAACAUUGAUCCGAGCCCAGCUGCCACGGAGAAUUUGCAGCCCAGUAGUUGUGUCUGUCGAUAUAAAAGCCCGAGUCAUUUUCCUGCUGACACAUGUUCCACGUUCCCCCUUCCUUUGGCUCAGAGGAGGGGUAGAGGAGAAAACUGACCAUGGAGCAGCCACUGAUUUAUACUUCUUUUCUGGACCAGGGAAUUCAUAUUGAUUAGUUGGAUGAAUGAGUCUGUCCCUUUGUUUCAAAUGAUUAGAGUGAGUGUCUGCCCUUGGAAUAUAUCACGGCUCCACUAUGACAUCAGGAAUAAGAUCCACUGUGUUUUUUGUAAAUCUCAGUGCCUUUCCCCUACUUAUGAAAUACACCUGUCGAUGAUACUUAACCUGGUUAUGGAGAAACAGGUCUUUACGGGAGUCUGAAAAAUAGGUUUGCCAGCAGGGACGCCAGAAAGUGUCAGAUUCUUUUUUGGGCUCUUUCCUGUUGCCUAAAGCAUUUAUACUGAACUUGUCAUCAAAGCAGUUGAUGACAUUUGUUGACUCAUCUGAAUUCAAUUUUCUUUUUCUUAUUCUGUUGUGGGAUUUCAUAGCUGAUCAGUGCUUAUCCAAAUAACUUCUGGCUGGAUUUCUCAUCUGUAAAACUUAGUGGGGGAAAACAACCACCAUAGAAUGAAUUUCUGUAUUUUAAUGGAAUUUUUUUUUUAACAUUUAUCAUUAACAUGUUUACAGAAAUAUAUUUAACAUCUUAUGUUUUCCAAGAAUUGUCUAGCUGAGGUGACUCUAUAUGGAGAAUAUGGUUUUUCUACUGGUCUCUCUGCUCCAUUAUGAUUUUUGAAGGAAAAGAUUCUUUUUUUUUUUCCCAAAAUUUGCUUUGAUGCUAAAUUGGUAGAAAUUAAUUUAUUCUCUGGAGCCCAGGAUUCUGUCCCUGAAUUCUUCUCUUGAAGAAUUGGUACAUCCUACUUUUUCUCUGGAGGAUCUUAAAACAAACAUGCAUCCUUCUCAGCCUGGCUGUCUUUCAAAUAUUGAAGGCAAUUCUAAUGUUUUCCACUGAUUUUCUCUUCCCUUAAUAGACUGUAGUUUCUUGAGCUAUUCAUAAAUUAAUCGAAAAUUAAUAAUUUUUGAUGCUGUCUGUGUAUCGAUUGCCCUUUAAGUGGUUGCGGUCCAAAGAAGUGCCUGUAAUCCCCAGGCUCCACCAGCAGGAAUUCAUGUCUUCCUUAUCUGUGUUCUAGUGGAAUCAGGCACCUCAGCUGUAACAUCGACCCUGUGCUACCCAGGCAAUGUGUCGUUAUCUUAGCUCUUAUUCCAACAGUGCCCUGAGCCCCUUUGUUGCCCAGUGACCGGGAGACGUUUCUAAUCACUUGGACCUCUCUAGGUCAGGAAAUUCAUACGUGGAUGGGAUGAGAGAAUAGGGGAUGUGGUUAAGGAUGAGCAAAGUGUAAUUAAUGAAAAACCUUUGUAAAGAACCAUCAAUUUUUUUUGCAGUGCUUUCUAGGUAUCAUACAGAGUCGUCUCUG